CCCUUGAUGUUCUGGGCCGCACGCGUGCUACACUGAGUGGAUCAGCGGGUCAGGUUGCGCGAAAGCGUUUCCUAAUCUUUAAAUCCGCUCGUGAUGGGGAUUGACGGUUGCAAUUUUCUGUCAUGAACGAGGAAUACCUUGUAAGCGCGGGUCAUCAUCCCGCGCUGAAUACGUCCCUGCCCUUUGUACACACCGCCCGUCGCUCCUACCGAUUGAGUGGUCCGGUGAGGCUUUGGGAUCUGAGCGGAAAGAGCGUUUCGCUGUUUCUGCUCGGAAAACUCAGUCGAACCUUAUCAUUUAGAGGAAGGAGAAGUCGUAACA
Molecule: ribosomal RNA, 321 nt
Filed under: uncultured eukaryote
Lineage: Eukaryota
Description: partial 18S ribosomal RNA
Rfam family: Eukaryotic small subunit ribosomal RNA
Source: RNAcentral